GCUUUGCCCGAGAGGUCUAAGGGGUGAGACUUAAGAUCUCCUGUUUUCGAACGCGUGGGUUCGAACCCCACAAGCAG
Molecule: transfer RNA, 77 nt
Filed under: uncultured Florenciella
Lineage: Eukaryota; Dictyochophyceae; Florenciellales
Rfam family: tRNA
About the family: Transfer RNA (tRNA) molecules are approximately 80 nucleotides in length. Their secondary structure includes four short double-helical elements and three loops (D, anti-codon, and T loops).
Source: RNAcentral